Molecule: long non-coding RNA, 3190 nt
Organism: Cavia porcellus (domestic guinea pig)
Lineage: Eukaryota; Metazoa; Chordata; Mammalia; Rodentia; Caviidae
Exons: 3
Source: RefSeq, a predicted model, not a curated record
CCUAGGAUGUGUUGGAGACAAUACUGGAAUUAUAUUAAAUGUUCAUAAGAAAGAGGUACUGCUAUUCUCAUCUUUGGCGUGGGGAUACUGAACCCCCAGGAGCACUUGGUCUCACGGCUGGUUGGUGAUGUAACCAGCAUAACUCAGACCCCUCUCUUCCGGCAGCCACCAGGCUAGAUGCUUCCAGGUACUGUAGCCAGGCACUUAGUAAUCCAAGUCUAAUUCUCUGUUUUCCAGGGUGUCUCAGGGGCUAGGGCCUGUCCUGCAAACUAAACUGGCGCUGGGAUGUGAGAGGGAGCUUCUGCAUCCCCUUUCAGCCUGUCUAUUCUGGAGUUCAAAGCUCUUCUCUGGCUUCUGAGGACUUGCCCAGACAGCUCUCACCUCGAGAGGAAAGAAAGGAAACAGGCCUGAUUGCCCCAUCAUUUCACAACGGAGAUACCACGCACUUGACUUGCCCGGUCCACCCAUGCAGCUAGGGGCAAGAGGGAGAAUCCUCCGGCUCCCUGCUGCUCCCAGAGCCGGGGAAGCCCUGAGCUGCCUUUCCUGAGUUUCCCAAUAGCUGGAGACAUCAGAGAGAGGCAGAUGGAUGUGGGGAAAACCUCUUCUGAAACUGAGGGAUGGUGAUGCAUGUGGCUGGCAGGGGAGAGCAUACAGAUGGAGACAGCAUGUCACUGAUGAAAUGCACUGGUGACCUUUUGCAUCGGCGACCUUGGCAUUGCAGACCUUGCCAGCUGGCCCUCUGAGACUGCUAACACCAGUCCUCCCCAAGGGAGUGUGUCUGGUCUCCUGACCCAGCAGCUGCACCAGAAAAUCAGAUCUAGAAGACAGAGACCGACCCAUUUUGUUCUUUGUGAGCUGAGAUGGAGAGGUUGAUGGUCCCACCUGGAGCCUUUCAGGAGAAAGGGCUUUUGCAGAUGCGAUGAAAAGAAUCUUGCAAUGAACAGAUUAGCUAGGAUUAAAUACUAGUGUCCUAAACCACAUCCCAAAUACCCUUCUAAGGCAGAGGCAGAGGAAGCUGGGACACUCAGAAGAGAAGGCAGCUUGACCACAGAGUCUGGAGCAACUGGAGUGACGCAGCCGCUGAUCAAAGAGUGCUGGCAGCCGCCAGCAGCUGGAGGCAGAAGUAGGUUCUCAGAGUCUCCGGAGAAGCUCGGCUCAGCCGACACCUUGACACUGGCCCAGGACGCUGGUUUCUGACUUCUGGUCACCAGAACUGUGAAAAAACACAACUCCGCUGGUGUAAGCCUCCUGCUCUACAGUAACUCGAUACAAGGGUGACAGGAAAUGAAUGCAGCCUUCUGCCCCAGGGCCUGGGACACAACAGACAGGGAAUAUUUGUUGAAAGAAUAAACAAAAGCUCCCAACCAAGCAUGGUCCCCAGACCAGGUUGGGCCUCCUCACCAAAAAGUCCUCCUGUUUGCUAUGCUUGUCUCUGUGCCCUGGGCAGUUUGUCACAUGUGUGGCCAUGGCAGAGACUGCCUUUGACAGCCAGCUCCUUUUGACAAAGGUGUUGGCAGAGCCAUAGACAGUUGGCCUCUGGCCACGCCCAGCCAGCAGAAGUAUUUUGUUUGGCUGGCAUAUAAUGUUGUGAGUAAAUUAAAAUAGACACCAGGAUUUUAAUACAAUUCCUGAGAUUUUACAUAAAAUCAGGAUUUCCAUUUUCUGUUGAGAAAUCUGACAUUCUUUCCACUCCUGCUGCACCCGCACAGGGCUCAGGGGCUGGGACCUGAAAGGUGGCUGCUCCUGCGGCUCAGGCUUGGGCUGGGGUCCAACCCUAGGCUGCUCAGCUGCCCUAAGCUCUCGGCACCCCCAGUAAGACAGGACAAGUUCCCUCAGUCUUGCAUGAAGAGCAGAGCGCCCCCUGGCGUCUGGACUGCUGCCCAGUACAUCCUUUAUUGAGAUUCUAAAACCCUUGGCGUGGUGUCUGUAAUCUUAGCACUCUGGGAGGCUGAGGCAGGAGGACUACAAAUUCAAACUCAGCUUGGGUAAUUUAGAGAUUUUGCAAGAGCUUGUCGCUAAAUUAAUAAUUUUUUGAGGGGCUGAGGAGGAAGGUCAGUGAGAAGGUGGGUUCAAUCACCAGUAUGGCAAUAAAAUGUAUUCUGAAGUAACCUGCUCAGGGGCUCUCUGCCCCUUUGCGGCUUCCAGCCAGGAAAGUUGUCUCUAGAAAUCACCCAGUCAUUUCCUGGGGGUGGAGAUGAAUCUUAGCAAAUUUCUGAAGCUGUCUAAUUAUCUCCGACAGGCCUGUGGAGACGGCCUAACUGCAUCUUCACCUGCUUUCCCCAGCAUUCCCUGGCCCUAACAGUGGCCCUGAAAGAAGCCAAAAGUUUUAGUACAGGAAAGAAAUGCAACAGAAGCCCCUGGGGGCCACCCAUGGAAGGUACUGGGGGCUGGCUCUGCGGACCCUACCAUACACAUGGGUGGGACUAGAGACGGUUCCUCAAACAGGAGGGUGGCUGGUAGCCCUGGGCCAGGGCGGGGAUGGCCCAGAGCACAGCCCUCUCCCCUCCAGGCAGAGCCAAAGCAGAACAGAGGAUCCUUUUGACAAGGAGAAUUUUUGAGUGAGGCUCCCACGAAAUGAUCUGUGUCCGCAGCUGCUGACUGCGAGGCUGCUCUAGCAGUCUUCCCCUGGGCUCCAGGAAAGGAAAUUUAAAACACGUGUAAACGCCUUAAUGAGACCAGUAAAUCCCUGCACGUCUUUCUCCAUCUAACGUGCGCUAAUUUGGUGAGUCUCUCUGAACAGGGGUCUGCAGCAGGGUGGACCGGGUGGGAGAAGCUGUGCGUUCAGUGAGCCGAAGCUGUGUGGCUGCAGUGCAUUGCCUAAUUUCUCCAAGCUUCGAUGUUUCUACUUGUAAAGUGGAAGGGUUGGACUGAGAUGGAGAACUUGCACGUCCUGACUGUUACCAGGAAGUCAGGGAAAUGGCUACACUGUGCCCGUGUUCUCAGACUGGGAAAUUAUGCUGAAGUGGGGCUUUCAGCUACUCCCAUCCCAUCCCUGGGCUGCUAAGCACUACAGAGUGGGGACGAAUCGGGGUUGCAGCUCUUUCUGUUGCUCCUCACAGCAACCCACAAAAACAGACAACAAAUAUGAACGUGUGUGACAUGGUGCAUUUGUUGUAAGGACACGGGUCCUGAGGGAGUGGCUGGGUUUAGGAGCUCUUGUGUCCAGGUGAGUCAGGAGAACCCAGCAGGA